This 253-nucleotide ribosomal RNA is filed under the name uncultured bacterium. RNAcentral describes it as "partial 16S ribosomal RNA". It matches the Rfam family "Bacterial small subunit ribosomal RNA", at positions 524 to 776 of the family's 1533-position model. The record is from RNAcentral.
UACGUAGGGUGCGAGCGUUACUCGGAAUUACUGGGCGUAAAGUGUGCGCAGGCGGCGCCGCAAGUCGAGUGUGAAAGCCCCGAGCUUAACUUGGGAAUUGCGCUCGAAACUAUGGUGCUGGAGUGUGGCAGAGGAAGGUGGAAUUCCACGUGUAGCGGUGAAAUGCGUAGAGAUGUGGAGGAACACCGAUGGCGAAGGCAGCCUUCUGGGCCAACACUGACGCUCAUGCACGAAAGCGUGGGGAGCAAACAGG